Molecule: ribosomal RNA, 249 nt
Filed under: uncultured prokaryote
Description: partial 16S ribosomal RNA
Rfam family: Bacterial small subunit ribosomal RNA
Source: RNAcentral
UACGGAGGAUGCAAGCGUUAUCUGGAUUCAUUGGGUUUAAAGGGUGCGUAGGCGGGCUAUUAAGUCAGUGGUGAAAUCCUGCAGCUUAACUGCAGAACUGCCGUUGAUACUGAUAGUCUUGAGUUUGGUUAAGGUAGGCGGAAUGUGUAAUGUAGCGGUGAAAUGCUUAGAUAUUACACAGAACACCAAUUGCGUAGGCAGCUUACUGAGCCGACACUGACGCUGAGGCACGAAAGCGUGUGGAUCAAA